This 1245-nucleotide long non-coding RNA is filed under the name Sus scrofa (pig). Its description in RNAcentral is "lncRNA (ENSSSCG00050038936.1)". The record is from RNAcentral. Lineage: Eukaryota; Metazoa; Chordata; Mammalia; Artiodactyla; Suidae.
ACUGUGCCUUACAUAGUAGUUUGUCUAUUAUUAUUCCUCUUGCCAAAUUGAAGCCCUCGAAAGGCAUGGAUUGUGGGGUUUUCAUAUCCUUUCUAUACACCUGGGCCCUAACCCAAUUCCAGAAAAAGUAUGUGAUCUGGAACAUCAAAGGCCUCAUGCAUCUGUCCCCGGGGCCAACAUAAACAGGCCUGUGAGUGGAUGCUUAGAAUGUGGAGUGCAGAGUCUAGAACAGAACUAUGGACAGCAGCUCACAUGAAGUACCCCUAACUCAGAGAGAGGGAGGAAGGAGAUGGGCAUCUCAUCCUGCUGCAGCCAAGCUCAUAGUUACCACAGCAUUGCUGACCAGAGUGGCAUCUAUCCACUGGAAUGGAAUAAAUGAAAGACAUUAGGUAAUCAUCAGUUUCUGACUGUGACCCACAUACUUUAUGCGUUUGUCACCUGUCUCUGGCAUCUGAGGAUGAUGCUGUUGAGGAUGGUUACCACCUACAUGUGCAGUUAGAGCUACAAGUUCUGGUAGGUCUUCAGUUGUUCUUUCUAUGCUAUUGAGUGACUGUCUUUUUUUUAUUUUUAAGGAUUUUAAUUUUUUCCAUUAUAGUUGGUUUAGAGUGUUCUGUCAAUUUCUACCAUACGCAAAGUGACCUGACACACACACACACACACACACAUCUAUAUCUAUAUCUAUAUACUCUUUUUCUUAUAUUAUCCUCUAUCAUGUUCCAUCAUAAGUAACUAGACAUAGUUCCCAGUGCUACACAGCAGGAUCUCCUUGCUAAUCCAUUCCAAAGGCAAUAGUUUGCAUCUAUUAACCCCAGAUUUCAAGUCCAUCCCACUCCCUACCCCUCCUCCUUAGCAACCACAAAGUCCAUGAGUUUCUUUUCUGUGAAAAAGUUUAUUUGUGCCAUAUAUUACAUUCCAGAUAUGUGAUAUCAUAUGGUAUUUGUCUUUCUCUUUCUGACUUACUUCACUCACUAUGAGAGUUUCUAGUUCCAUCCAUGUUGCUGCAAAAGGCGUUAUUUUGUUCUUUUUUAUGACUGAGUAGAAUUCCAUUGUGUAUAUAUAUACCACAUCUUCUUAAUCCAUUCAUCUGUUGAUGGACAUUUAGGUUGUUUCCAUGUCUUGGCUAUUGUGAAUAAUGCUGUGAUGAACAUGCAUGUAUCAUUUCCAAGGAAAGUUUUGUCCAGAUAUAUACCCAAGAGGGGGAUUUCUGGAUUAUAUGGUAGUUCUAUAUUUAGUUUUCUGUGAUAC